AAAGUACUCCCUCCGUCCCGAAAUUCUUGUCUUAGAUUUGUCUAGAUACGGAUGUAUCAAGUCACAUUUUAGUAUUAGAUACAUCCGUAGCUAGACAAAUCUAAGACAAGAACUUGGGACAGAGGGAGUAGUUG
Triticum aestivum (bread wheat) is the source of this 134-nucleotide non-coding RNA. NCBI's taxonomy places the organism in Eukaryota, Viridiplantae, Streptophyta, Magnoliopsida, Poales, Poaceae. The record is from Rfam.